Molecule: microRNA, 23 nt
Filed under: Anolis carolinensis (green anole)
Lineage: Eukaryota; Metazoa; Chordata; Lepidosauria; Squamata; Anolidae
Also listed under: 1 other name
Description: Aca-Mir-551-P2_5p (mature (co-guide))
Source: RNAcentral
GAAAUCAAGGUUGGGUGAGACCU